Pecten maximus is the source of this 72-nucleotide small nucleolar RNA. The record is from RefSeq and is a predicted model, not a curated record. NCBI's taxonomy places the organism in Eukaryota, Metazoa, Mollusca, Bivalvia, Pectinida, Pectinidae.
GAGCUAUGAUGAUUUUUACCGGAUUCUGAAUAACGUAUGAAGUGUUAUUUGAGCUUUUUAAAUCUGAGCCCC